CUGGCAGGCUGACCCUGAAGGGAUGAUACCAAAGGAGAUUAUCCCUUUGGGGUUGUAACAAAGAGUGUUCUAUACACAGGAUGUAUCUCAGGCGAAGGAUUUGGAGGAGGAGGAGGUUGUUGGAUGACCCAUCUCAGUGAUCAAGGGAAUGGCAAUUGCCCAAGUUGGAAUGCUGAAUAAUAACAUUUUAAGUCCGGGAUGCCUCACCCUUCCGAAGAGGAUUAUCUAGAUAACAGAAAAUA
Long non-coding RNA from Rhineura floridana, 242 nucleotides. RefSeq lists it as uncharacterized. NCBI's taxonomy places the organism in Eukaryota, Metazoa, Chordata, Lepidosauria, Squamata, Rhineuridae. The transcript is spliced from 3 exons. The record is from RefSeq and is a predicted model, not a curated record.